AUUGAACGCUGGCGGCAGGCCUAACACAUGCAAGUCGAACGAGUGGCGGACGGGUGAGUAAUGUCUGGGAAACUGCCCGAUGGAGGGGGAUAACUACUGGAAACGGUAGCUAAUACCGCAUACCAUCGGAUGUGCCCAGAUUGGAUUAGCUAGUAGGUGGGGUAACGGCUCACCUAGGCGACGAUCCCUAGCUGGUCUGAUAGGAUGACAAGCCACACGUGAACUGAGACACGGUCCAGACUCCUACGUGAGGCAGCAGUGGGGAAUAUUGCACAAUGGGCGCAAUCCUGAUGCAGCCAUGCCGCGUGUAUGAAGAAGGCCUUCGGGUUGUAAAGUACUUUCAGCUAGGAGGCGUUACUCGCAGAAGAAGCACCGGCUAACUCCGUGCCAGCCGACGCGGUAAUUC
This 406-nucleotide ribosomal RNA is filed under the name uncultured bacterium. RNAcentral's name for it is "partial 16S ribosomal RNA". It matches the Rfam family "Bacterial small subunit ribosomal RNA", at positions 30 to 526 of the family's 1533-position model. The record is from RNAcentral.